This 703-nucleotide ribosomal RNA is filed under the name uncultured fungus. RNAcentral describes it as "bacterial SSU rRNA". It matches the Rfam family "Eukaryotic small subunit ribosomal RNA", at positions 196 to 926 of the family's 1831-position model. Lineage: Eukaryota; Fungi. The record is from RNAcentral.
GGAAGGGGUGUAUUUAUUAGAUAAAAAUCAACUUUGUUGGUGAAUCAUAAUAACUUCUCGGACCGCAUGGCCUUGUGCUGGCGGUGCUUCAUUCAAAUAUCUGCCCUAUCAACUGUCGAUGGUAGGAUAGAGGCCUACCAUGGUUGCAACGGGUAACGGGGAAUAAGGGUUCGAUUCCGGAGAGGGAGCCUGAGAAACGGCUACCACAUCCAAGGAAGGCAGCAGGCGCGCAAAUUACCCAAUCCCGACACGGGGAGGUAGUGACAAUAUGUAACAAUAUACGGCCUUAUACGUCGUAUAAUUGGAAUGAGUACAAUUUAAAUCCCUUAACGAGGAACAAUUGGAGGGCAAGUCUGGUGCCAGCAGCCGCGGUAAUUCCAGCUCCAAUAGCGUAUAUUAAAGUUGUUGCAGUUAAAAAGCUCGUAGUUGAACCUUGGGCCUGGCUGGCCGGUCCSCCUCACCGCGUGCACUGGACCGGCCGGGCCUUCCUUCUGGGGAGCCGCAUGGCCUUCGCUGGCCGUGUCGGGGACCAGGACUUUUACUUUGAAAAAAUUAGAGUGUUCAAAGCAGGCCUUCGCUCGGAUACAUUAGCAUGGAAUAAUAGAAUAGGGCGCGCGGUUCUAUUUUUGUUGGGUUCUAGGACCGCCGUAAUGAUUAAUAGGGAUAGUCGGGGCGCCAUCCGUAUUCGAAUGCUCAAGGAGGU